Molecule: long non-coding RNA, 3671 nt
Organism: Sesamum indicum (sesame)
Lineage: Eukaryota; Viridiplantae; Streptophyta; Magnoliopsida; Lamiales; Pedaliaceae
Source: RefSeq, a predicted model, not a curated record
UUUAGAAGAAAAGUAUAGAGCUGAAUUAUCAGUUUGGUAUCAGACCUUAAUGCUUCUCAGGUAAAAGUUACUGUUAGACUAACUAACUCAAAAUGGAGAAAGACCUGUAUACCCUCAACUAUUCUUUCCUCUGGGAAGUUCUGUUACUGGAUGACUCCUGCAUGCUGGUGAUGAUACGGAUUAAUAACAAUAGGAGCAAUAAUCAGGUCUUUUGUCACAGACAGGAUAUCCGUUGGUAAUAAUAUAUAAAAAUGAGACAAUAAAUCAGUUAAAUGCUUCAGCUGCUGGAAUGUUGACAGAACUGAAGGAGAUUGCUCUUUUGUUUUCUUCUAUUCUGUAUUCAUUAGCCUAACUUUUUGGCCCAGAACAGUUUUGUUUGCUUGCUCAACUCUCACUUUCUGUAUGUAUAAGAUGGUUGUUAGGAUAGGCCAUCUUUCUCUAUAUAGAAGUGGCAGCGUAUCGUAUCCAAAUUCUAUCAAUUUACGAAGAUUAGAACUUUACCAUCUCCAUUAUCAAUUAUUACCUCUACAUUUUCCAGUACAUCUUUAGGAGGAAAUAUCGAGGCUUAUCAUGUUCACGCACUCUCACCCCUGUGGGUAGAAAAGUCCUUACGAGGAAGUUUGAGGGGAUGAUCAAAUGAGUGUGGGCAAAAGAAAUUUUACUGCCUGUUUGAUAACCUUGCCAUGGAUGCUCGUCUUGUGGGAAAGAGGCAUUUGUGUGCCAGGUAUCUUAUCGUUCUUUUGUUUGUGCAAUCAUUGCCCCUGCAAACCCCUGUCCCCUUUAGGAUGGCUGAUGAAGUUUCUGACGUUUGUUCUUCUUCUCCUAUAUUCCAUCUUUCUCUCACACUUAACCUAAGCUUUCCACACUAACCUGGGGAUUGAGUUAAGGAUAUUUGGAUCCUACAGUUGUACACAGUUAAUGUGCUUGCAUGAAUUGUAAAGGGUUGGCAAACGCUGUGUUUGAUGUCUAUAGGGUCUCAUGCUUUAUUGUUACUAAAUACUAUCUAUGAACUUAGAAUGCUCACAUGCACAGUGUACUAUAUUGCGGAAAAUAUGCUGUUGUCAAGGAUACAAAAAUAAUUGUUUGGCUCAAAUCCUGAACAGUUUCCGCCAUUGAUUUUAAGAUAGUCGGUUUGUCGCUCAACCCCUUUAUGCUAAAGGCAAUGAGGUGAUUUUUCUGGGUGGUCCUCUCCCAUUUUGUAAUAAUGGAAGCUGAAAUACCACAAUGGAGAAAUGGAGGUUUUUGUUUUUUAAUUAAAAACGUAAUCCUUUUGUUUUUCACCCAUGUUUCCAGGGGGCAAUUUUGUAUAAUGUUUUAACAAAUGAAUGUUCUUCAUGAUUUAUCCUUGUCAACUUGUAACCUAUAUAUGUGUACUUUACUGGGAAUUAGAUGACAUAUACUCACACCUCAUCCUGGAUACUUGUUCUUUUUGCUUCUUUUCUACUUCUCCUUUCUGUGCUUUAUGCUGAUGCAGGUUCGUUUAGGUCCCAUCAAACUUCAGAUUCAUCUUUUAUAUAAUUCUCAGUUUCAUACAUGAAGAUCCUUGCGUUGGCGUCCUUAUACAUCGAAUUAAAAUUAAUUUUUACUUUUAAAAAACAUGUACAUAGUCUGAAUUUUUAUGUUUUAUGAUAUCAGAGGAACAGAUUAAUUCGGUUUCCCCUUGCUACAGGCAUCCAAUGAUGUCCUUGUUCAGGUCUGAGGAGUUUAAUCUUGAUGGGACAAAUAUCAGUGGCAUUGGAGAUGAAUUGAUACUGAUAAUUUGCUGACAAUGAUGGUUCAUACUCUUACUAGUGUCAUUUUACGAAUCGGUGCAAAUUUGAGAUGGAGGCUUUUUCUUGGUUCAUCAUAAAUAUAUAUAGCCUGUUCUUUGCUGCAACCUAGAAACAAGUCCUAUUUAUGUUUUUAAGUGAUCUUGACUAAUGUGCUACUUCAAUUUCAGCACAGCCGAAGUGUAUGCAGUGAAAUACUUUAUAUUUGAAUCAGCUAAUUGCACGAUAUACAAGUAAUUGACAUGCCUUAGCUCUGUAAGAAUUUCCACAUAUAAGCUUAAAGGUUCCAGCGUUACACUUUCUUGUGAUCAUCAAGACACCUCUGAAACCUUUUAUUGCGUCUGAGACUUUCAAUGGAGAUGUAAAAAUUGAUUAUAUAGAGCUAUUAUUAUGAAUUCAAAGAUAACAUCAGGAAGACUUUAAAGCUUAUUAUUUGAUGCAGAUAUACAGAUGAGAGAGCUGAAAGUUUAUCAAUUAUUAGGUCAAUAAUGUGUUCAUGUAAGUGUUGAUAAACAGUUGUACUGUAUUCUGAAGUUUUUGUUGUCUGUGUUUGUAUUUGCAUUUUAAAUCAAAUAGUUUGGAUAUUAAUGAUAUGACACAGCUGAUCAACUCUUUAAGUAAUCCAUGUUAUAACCUUUUAGAAAAACUGAUUUUCAUGUUCAUUUAGUAUUUUGAACUUGUAUCAUUCAUUAAUGUUGCUCCAAUCUUUCAGCAUGGUGUUUUAUGUUUUUUUAGCUCAUAACGUGUCCUCUUGAUAAAUUUCUUGUUUUCCAUUGAUUGCGUCAAGCUGCUGCAUUGCACACAAUGACUUCUUUUCAUCUUUAUUUUUUAUUGACUAUAUUCUUCCUAGACGAUUGCUUUGUAAUUCUUAUAUAUCAUUAUCAGCUUAUUGAUUCGAGAAUCUGCUUUAGUCAUUUGGCAUUUUGAGAAUUAUGAAAAGCUAUGGGAAUAUACCCGUGUCUUGAAGCAGUUCUUUUCUUGGAGUAGUGGAGCCAAAAUUGAUGAUAACAUCUUGUUGAAAUUCACCAUAGACCUCUUUAUUCAUUGCCGCCGUGACACUCAAGGGUUUUGUGGAAAGAAGGGAACUCUAACUUGCAUGGGGAUGUGCAGCAGAAGGGGAAAAGAGAAAAGCAUAGGAAAUGAAGGUUUGAUAAUCAUGGCUUUUGGAAGAAAGAAGAAAGGGAAUAAAGGGUACGCCUGUGGAGAUGAGAUUCCCUGAUGAGAUAUGACAUAUGCAAGUGUUUUAGAGAGAAAGAAAGGAAGAUUAAGAAUAGAAUAGAAGCUUUUGGUUUGUCUGGUUGUGCCCAGAGCAACAUAGAAAGAAGGCGUCUUUUCUACUGUGCAAAUGACAUGGACGUUCCAAGGGGCCGAGCCAUGGGGACGUCCACAAAAUUUGAGAAAGAGUCUAGCGGAAAAGAAGGCUGAUCAGCAGAAUGGUAAUCCUCAACCCAGGCAUCUUUUUGAUAAUUACCAGCGUUGACAUUUUUCCACCAUCUUUUAUUUUCUUUUUGGGGUUCAAACUUUGUACCACCAAUUCCCGGACCACCACUAACCCUUGCACAAAAACACAUACAGCAUCAACUUAAGUCACUUUUACACCCACGCUUACAGCAGGUUUUUACACCCUCUACUCUACUCCCUCUUUAGAAAAGGCUAUACUGCUUUGAAUGCACUGGUUCCUUUCAGUUUUCUUAGUAGUCCAGAACCAGAAAUAAAGGAACCAAGGGGAAAAUGCUUCAAAGGUUUAGGUUUUUGAAAACUGAGCAGCACGACAGCCGGGACGACAUACCUUGAUGGUUCCGUCUUGUGUUUUACUAUUAGAUUUUUGUUCCGAUUUGAGGAUUUAUUUGCUGUACUAUCUUGGAUGACGAAAGAAUUUAGAAUAGCUUGAGAAAUAUACUU